GAUGAACGCUGGCGGCGUGCCUAAUACAUGCAAGUCGAGCGAACAGACGAGGAGCUUGCUCCUCUGACGUUAGCGGCGGACGGGUGAGUAACACGUGGAUAACCUACCUAUAAGACUGGGACAACUUCGGGAAACCGGGGCUAAUACCGGAUAAUAUAUUGAACCGCAUGGUUCAAUAGUGAAAGACGGUUUUGCUGUCACUUAUAGAUGGAUCCGCGCCGCAUUAGCUAGUUGGUAAGGUAACGGCUUACCAAGGCAACGAUGCGUAGCCGACCUGAGAGGGUGAUCGGCCACACUGGAACUGAGACACGGUCCAGACUCCUACGGGAGGCAGCAGUAGGGAAUCUUCCGCAAUGGGCGAAAGCCUGACGGAGCAACGCCGCGUGAGUGGUGAAGGUCUUCGGAUCGUAAAACUCUGUUAUUAGGGAAGAACAAAUGUGUAAGUAACUAUGCACGUCUUGACGGUACCUAAUCAGAAAGCCACGGCUAACUACGUG
This 497-nucleotide ribosomal RNA is filed under the name uncultured bacterium. RNAcentral describes it as "partial 16S ribosomal RNA". It matches the Rfam family "Bacterial small subunit ribosomal RNA", at positions 28 to 507 of the family's 1533-position model. The record is from RNAcentral.